Long non-coding RNA from Oncorhynchus tshawytscha (Chinook salmon), 459 nucleotides. The record is from Ensembl. NCBI's taxonomy places the organism in Eukaryota, Metazoa, Chordata, Actinopteri, Salmoniformes, Salmonidae.
UCCCUCAACAUUGCAGUACAAUAAUCAACAUUAAUAGGUCAAAUACAAAAUGACACGUAAUAGAAGAUGUAGUAUGCUUAGUACACAAUACGAUAUACAGAAUAGAUUGUAAAUGGAUUUGCAGAAUAGAUCAUGAACAAUAGGAUACACAGAACAGAUAAUGAACAAUAGGAUACUCAGAACAGAUAAUGAACAGAGGUGCAGCUAGGUUCAAGGUGCAGCUAGGGUCUAAGGUGCAUGUCUGCGCAGGGAGACAGCUAGGGUCUAAGGUGCAUGUCUGCGCAGGGAGACAGCUAGGGUCUAAGGUGCAUGUCUGCGCAGGGAGACAGCUAGGGUUAGCUGUUCAGCAGUCUGAUGGCCUGGCGGUAGAAGCUGUCUCGGAGCCUGUUCGUCCGAGACCCGAUGCUCCAAUACCGCUCGGCAGAUGGUAACAGUGAAAAGUCUGUGGCUCGAGUCCUU